This 900-nucleotide ribosomal RNA is filed under the name Triticum aestivum (bread wheat). RNAcentral describes it as "partial small subunit ribosomal RNA". Lineage: Eukaryota; Viridiplantae; Streptophyta; Magnoliopsida; Poales; Poaceae. The record is from RNAcentral.
AUGGCGGCACCGCGCCCGCAUCCGCUGCUGCUCCUGCUCCUCGUCGCGCUGCUGGCCGCCUCCGCCGACGCCUGGGGCAAGGAGGGCCACAUCAUGGUCUGCAAGAUCGCUGAGAGGUACCUGACGGAGGAGGCGGCGGCGGCGGUGCAGGACCUGCUGCCGGAGUCGGCCGGCGGGGAGCUGUCGACGAUGUGCCCCUGGGCGGACACCAUGCGCUUCCGCUACCACUGGGCCAGCCCGCUCCACUACGCCAACACCCCCAACAUCUGCAGCUUCAACUUCUCCCGGGAUUGCCACAACUCUCGCGGGGAGCAGGGGAUGUGCGUCGUCGGGGCCAUCAACAACUACACGGACCAGCUCUACACCUACGGGGACUCCCCCAAGAGUUCGUCGUACAACCUGACGGAGAGCCUGAUGUUCCUGGCGCAUUUCGUGGGCGACGUCCACCAGCCGCUGCACGUGGGCUACGAGGAGGACGAGGGCGGCAACACCAUCACGGUGCACUGGUACCGCAGGAAGGCCAACCUCCACCACGUGUGGGAUGUUAGCAUCAUCGACACGGUGAUGAAGGACUUCUACAACAAGAGCCUCGACACCAUGGUGGCCGCCCUCCAGAUGAACCUCACCGAGGGAUGGUCUGACGAUGUCGCUCACUGGGAGAAUUGCGCCAACAAGAAGGCGACCUGCGCAAACGACUACGCGAUCGAGAGCAUAAGUCUGUCGUGCAACUACGCCUACAAAGAUGUGGUGCAGAACAUCACCCUAGGAGAUGAUUAUUACUUCACCCGCUACCCGGUUGUGGAGAAGAGAUUGGCGCAGGCCGGCGUCAGACUGGCGCUGAUACUCAACCGUAUAUUUGACAAGAAAGAAGCUGAUACUAUGCCGUUAUACGUGCAGUAG